CUGUUUUCCCCCAAAUUUCUGUAGAUUUUGGUUUUGAAAGCUGCCGUAUUCACAAUCUUUUGCCGGAUCUUUCCAUAUCAAAAGCAAAGGAAGACAAGUUUCUUCAAGUUCAUGGUGAGAAUGUGGCUGCUCUAUCCACAUCUACAGCUCGGCGACUUGCUAUACACCAUAAUGCCUUAAGUGAGUACACUUCCUUAAAAUCUUCCACUCCAAGGGUCACGUAAAUUAGAGGAGUGUACAGUGAAGAAAAGAGCUAUGCCAAAUCUUUUACAUUUUUGAAUCAAUUACUGCCAGCAAUUGAAGAAGCUUCCGAAAGGAUUACAUUACCUGAAGACCCUCAAGAAAUUGGCGUUGUGGAAUAUGCCUUCAUUAUUCAAAGCAAGGCUCCAACCACAGGGAGUGGAUUGGUCUAAGACUCUGCACAUACCCUCCGUUGACAUAAACUAUAUGGCGUAAUUCUUAGCACUUGCACACACUUCCUCUCUUUGGGAGAGCUACAUUAUAUUCUAAUUUUUGGCUGUUCAUAGAGAAUGUUGAUAAAGAUCCCGCAAAAGAUUGUGAAUACAGCAGCUUUUAAUGUACAUGGCAAUUUGAUUUUCAUCCACAAACCAAACUCAUCCUUUAUGUUCUUAUACUCAAUCAAACAGAUCAAGAAAACUAAACAAAUAGGUUAUCAGCCCUCAGGUAACACAUCUCGCUGUUGACCAUUGACCCAAGUCGCUAGUCAUGCCCAAAAAUAUUUCCUAAGACAGAUUAGCCUCAACAAGAAGAAGUGUCAAUCCAGCCUCUUCGACAUGGUUGGUAACAACAACAUUUCAGUUCCAAGUAUUGAUUCCAAGCCCAAAGAUUCUCUCUCAACUGAAUUUCCUGUUCCGACUCUGUAUUCUUACAGAACAUGCUGCAAAGUUCAUGAAAAUAUCCCUCAGGUCGAUCUUAAUUCAUUCGAACAAGAAACCAAAUUGGGAAACCAACGAACCAAGCAUCUUCAAUUUACAUAAUUUUUUUAUACACUAAAAUGUCUUGGAACAUUUUCAUACCUUUCCUGAUUAUGGAAAUCAUGAACUUUCUUAGAACUCAUAUGUUCCUGCUAUAAAAAUAAAUAAAUAAAUAAACAAAAAAAAACCAUAUCUUAGGUGAGAUCCACAUGAUGGGCAUCCAUUUCCUCAAACGUUAAAUGGGCAAUUAAGAUCAUUUGACAAAGAUACAUUUUAUCAAACAUUAAAUGAGAUCCACUUGCAUUUGCUCAUUUUCAGUUCUAGUCCAGCAGUGCAGAAUGCCAGCAGCAUCAAUGGUGGAUCAGUUCUGUUCGGUUUCACCCGUUUCAGUAGGCCAGGUAAGGUUUGUUUUAUGGUUGUUUGUAUCUUGGUAGAUCAGGUUGAAUGUUGGAAUUCGCGUUCAUGUUUUCAAGAAGAAACUAAAAGUACAACAACCAAUAGGCACAUGGCAACCCAGAAACAACUAUCUAGAUGUCCAAUCUCUCACAAGUUAGAUUUUUUAUCCAACUGAUUCGAGUCCAUGUUUUCAAGUUUUCUAACCAUAUUUGAAGCAACAUAAGGGAUGCAAUGGUAGUAUCAAUGUAUUGUAUUGCCCAGGGGGCUAAUGUCAUCAUUUUCAUUUGAAGCCUUUUCUGCCACCCCACUCUACCAAGUGGCGGAUGUGAUAUGCCAAAAUAAAUAAAGAUCAUGUUUUCCUUAAAUUUCCAACGUUUUCUAUUUUUCGACAAAAUUUCUGCUUGAUUGUGACAUAUGGUUUGAAUAGUGGGAAUUCUGGGUCGGCCCUUCUGUCAGAAUUUCUGCCAGUGAUGAGUUGUGGGUGGCCUGCUACAUCCUUGAGGUAUCUGCCAGAGAUGAAUUUCUGCAGAGAUUGUUGGAGUUGUUCUUUCAAUUGAUCCAAAACCGAUCCAGGUCUGUUCAAAAUCAUCUUUGAAAUUCCACUCACUUGAACCCAACAAUCAAGUGAAUCUGCUUCAUUUAGAUCUCUAUGUAUUUGUAUUAAAUUUCUAUUACUGUGUAUGCAUUUCUUAUUUCCUUAUGGCUUUUGGUGCUGGUUAUUUUGAGCCAAGCUAGCUUAACUUGUGCUAGGUACCUUGUGCACUAAGAGCCACGUGGGUCACAAAUCAGGAGUAGUCAUCAUCCCUUAUUGUCAAACAACGAUAGUUUCUUAUGAUUUACGAUCUGAUUUUUGAUUUGACUAUUAAAUAUUUUUUCAGAACAUUGGUCAUAUAAACUCUGUUUUUAGUUUGACAACAGCUCUAUGCCAUACUUAUCUCAAUUGCAGUAGUCUUUUGGCCACAAGAUAUCAUAUCCAGACUGUUGAUUGUUCCUUUCAGUUUAUUGGAUGAUGAACGGUCACAAAUCAGGACCAGCUAUCAUCCCUGAUUGUAAAAAAGAAAAAGAAUAGUGCCCUGUGAUCUAUGAUCUGAUUUUGUGAUUUGAUUAUUCAACUUUUCUUGAAAGAUUGGUCAUGGAAACUCUAUCUUGAUCUUCACAAUGUUUCAAUAGAAAGUCUUUUACCUACUGGAUAUCAAAUCUUAUAUAUAUUACCGACAUUUACUUAUAUUAGUUUUGUCACUCCACUAACAAAACAGUCGGUGUUUGAGAUUUUUGUCUUUUAUUUUUUAUUAUUGCAUUUCUGUCAUUUAUUGUUGGAUGAAUGAAUGGAAAUUAUGGAUCUAAAACCAUUACUAAAAGACACUUCUGAGAAAAGGAUCCACUUUCUAAGGUUUUGAAUGGCUGGAAAUGUUCAUUGUUUUCCAAUAUACAAUAGACUGUAGAUUCAAAUGUGGAAAAUGAAACUAGUCAGUUUUGACAGGAUGCCCUUGAACUAGAAUCACACUGAUUUAGAGAUGAUGAGGAGAUUUACAUAGACCAGGUUGACAAGGUGAUUUGUGGCUUAUAUGUGCUGGUUAGGCCCCUCCAUCGAGUGGAGACCACUGCAAACCUGUCUUCGGCCAACCCUAAUUUGGUGUUGAUGUGUGGCACUAUUCCUAACUCACAUAACAGUUUGGCUUGAAGAAUUGACA
This is a long non-coding RNA of Magnolia sinica, 3022 nucleotides long. RefSeq lists it as uncharacterized. The transcript has 3 exons. Lineage: Eukaryota; Viridiplantae; Streptophyta; Magnoliopsida; Magnoliales; Magnoliaceae. The record is from RefSeq and is a predicted model, not a curated record.